UGCAAGUCGAGCGGAACGAGUUAUCUGAACCUUCGGGGAACGAUAACGGCGUCGAGCGGCGGACGGGUGAGUAAUGCCUAGGAAAUUGCCCUGAUGUGGGGGAUAACCAUUGGAAACGAUGGCUAAUACCGCAUAAUGCCUACGGGCCAAAGAGGGGGACCUUCGGGCCUCUCGCGUCAGGAUAUGCCUAGGUGGGAUUAGCUAGUUGGUGAGGUAAUGGCUCACCAAGGCGACGAUCCCUAGCUGGUCUGAGAGGAUGAUCAGCCACACUGGAACUGAGACACGGUCCAGACUCCUACGGGAGGCAGCAGUGGGGAAUAUUGCACAAUGGGCGCAAGCCUGAUGCAGCCAUGCCGCGUGUGUGAAGAAGGCCUUCGGGUUGUAAAGCACUUUCAGUCGUGAGGAAGGUAGUGUAGUUAAUAGCUGCAUUAUUUGACGUUAGCGACAGAAGAAGCACCGGCUAACUCCGUGCCAGCAGCCGCGGUAAUACGGAGGGUGCGAGCGUUAAUCGGAAUUACUGGGCGUAAAGCGCAUGCAGGUGGUUUGUUAAGUCAGAUGUGAAAGCCCGGGGCUCAACCUCGGAAUAGCAUUUGAAACUGGCAGACUAGAGUACUGUAGAGGGGGGUAGAAUUUCAGGUGUAGCGGUGAAAUGCGUAGAGAUCUGAA
This 666-nucleotide ribosomal RNA is filed under the name bacterium SCSIO13077. RNAcentral describes it as "bacterial SSU rRNA". It matches the Rfam family "Bacterial small subunit ribosomal RNA", at positions 56 to 702 of the family's 1533-position model. The record is from RNAcentral.